AUUGAACGCUGGCGGCAGGCCUAACACAUGCAAGUCGAGCGGAUGAAGGGAGCUUGCUCCUGGAUUCAGCGGCGGACGGGUGAGUAAUGCCUAGGAAUCUGCCUGGUAGUGGGGGAUAACGUCCGGAAACGGGCGCUAAUACCGCAUACGUCCUGAGGGAGAAAGUGGGGGAUCUUCGGACCUCACGCUAUCAGAUGAGCCUAGGUCGGAUUAGCUAGUUGGUGGGGUAAAGGCCUACCAAGGCGACGAUCCGUAACUGGUCUGAGAGGAUGAUCAGUCACACUGGAACUGAGACACGGUCCAGACUUCUACGGGAGGCAGCAGUGGGGAAUAUUGGACAAUGGGCGAAAGCCUGAUCCAGCCAUGCCGCGUGUGAAGAAGGUCUUCGGAUUGUAAAGCACUUUAAGUUGGGAGGAAGGGCAGUAAGUUAAUACCUUGCUGUUUUGACGUUACCAACAGAAUAAGCACCGGCUAACUUCGUG
RNAcentral lists this ribosomal RNA (482 nucleotides) under uncultured bacterium. RNAcentral's name for it is "partial 16S ribosomal RNA". It matches the Rfam family "Bacterial small subunit ribosomal RNA", at positions 30 to 507 of the family's 1533-position model. The record is from RNAcentral.